This 436-nucleotide long non-coding RNA is filed under the name Callithrix jacchus (white-tufted-ear marmoset). RNAcentral's name for it is "lncRNA (ENSCJAG00000086212.1)". The record is from RNAcentral. Lineage: Eukaryota; Metazoa; Chordata; Mammalia; Primates; Cebidae.
GUAUUAUGUUUACCUCAUUAGUGGAGCCUCAUUCUACGGAUGUGAAAAUAUUUAUGCUAGUCGCACUUAUUGGGAAUUUGUGGAUAGAACAAUAAAAUUAUUUUCCUAGCUCAGUUAGCUCACUAUAUAUUUUUUCCCAUUGACUUUACCAGUGAGAGGAAGAUGAAAACAGUAUGAAUGAGUAUGCAACAUUGUCUCAAAGUCAGCCAGCCUGGUAACAUUUUAUUCAGCCAAUACCAAUUGUGAAUACGGGCAAUGAGCAGCAAGACAUUGGAGAAGGGGAGCUCCAGGGCAAUGAAUGCCAACUAAAGGAAUCUUGCAUAGGGUGGAAAUGGCUGGACACUCGAACCACCAUCUUGCUUAGUCAUUGGCUUGAUGCUACAUGCUACAUGAAAAGUUCAUGCUCUUUGCUGAGGCAAUCUCUGAAGGAGCUGGU